UACGUAGGGGGCAAGCGUUGUCCGGAUUUAUUGGGCGUAAAGAGCGUGUAGGCGGCCAGAUAGGUCCGUUGUGAAAACUCGAGGCUCAACCUCGAGACGCCGAUGGAAACCAUCUGGCUAGAGUCCGGAAGAGGAGAGUGGAAUUCCCGGUGUAGCGGUGAAAUGCGCAGAUAUCGGGAAGAACACCCGUGGCUAAGGCGGGUCUCUGGACAGUUCCUGACGCUGAGGCACGAAGGCCAGGGGAGCAAACGGG
RNAcentral lists this ribosomal RNA (253 nucleotides) under uncultured bacterium. RNAcentral's name for it is "partial 16S ribosomal RNA". It matches the Rfam family "Bacterial small subunit ribosomal RNA", at positions 524 to 776 of the family's 1533-position model. The record is from RNAcentral.